GACGAACGCUGGCGGCGUGCUUAACACAUGCAAGUCGAACGGAAAGGCCCUGCUUUUGUGGGGUGCUCGAAUGGCGAACGGGUGAGUAACACGUGAGUAACCUGCCCUUGACUUUGGGAUAACUUCAGGAAACUGGGGCUAAUACCGGAUAGGAGCUCCUGCUGCAUGGUGGGGGUUGGAAAGUUUCGGCGGUUGGGGAUGGACUCGCGGCUUAUCAGCUUGUUGGUGGGGUAGUGGCUUACCAAGGCUUUGACGGGUAGCCGGCCUGAGAGGGUGACCGGCCACAUUGGGACUGAAAUACGGCACAGACACCUACGGGAGGCAGCAGUGGGGAAUAUUGCACAAUGGGCGGAAGCCUGAUGCAGUAACGCCGCGUGCGGGAUGACGGCCUUCGGGUUGUAAACCGCUUUCGCCUGUGACGAAGCGUGAGUGACGGUAAUGGGUAAAGGAGCACCGGCUAACUACGUG
Molecule: ribosomal RNA, 468 nt
Filed under: uncultured bacterium
Lineage: Bacteria
Description: partial 16S ribosomal RNA
Rfam family: Bacterial small subunit ribosomal RNA
Source: RNAcentral